RNAcentral lists this long non-coding RNA (4697 nucleotides) under Linum usitatissimum (flax). RNAcentral's name for it is "long non-coding RNA (LUSI_LNC007940)". Lineage: Eukaryota; Viridiplantae; Streptophyta; Magnoliopsida; Malpighiales; Linaceae. The record is from RNAcentral.
AUUCCCACUCUAUUGCAGUACUCGCACUAAAAGCACAAAGUAUACUCCAAUCCAUUUCCCUCAUCCUCUCUCUCAAUCCUCCGACGAGAAAUCCGUCCAAGUUUUCAUCAGAUCUCCAGAUUCCACCCUCCGUUUCCUGUUUCCCCUGUACUUUGAAAAUCAUCAUCCCAUCGGAAGUUCUCCGCACGGUUGCUGCCGUUUUCUUACCGUUUCAGCUAGGUAAAUUUUGUUUCGUACAGCUCUUUCUUUACUUUCAUUUCUCUGUUUGACUUGGCAAGGAUCGACUUCUGCUUUUGCUGGCUUCGUCGCUGGUGCAAGUUUGGUUGAUCGUUGAUUCGCUUUGUUGCUUUAGUGUUUCCAGCUGCUUAUUAUGCUUAGAUCUGUGUUUUUAUCUGCAGUGAAGGCUGCCUCUAUCGCUUAAUUUUGAAUCAGGAGUAGAAACAACAUGCCGUGGACAUCUUCUUUCGUCAACUACAGCAGUACCUCUGUUCGAUUGGUGGUGUUCUUCCGUGUCAUUCUGUAAAUUCGGUUUCUGCUUUGCAUUGUAAGUGGUGUAUAUUUCAGAUACUGUAUUUGAAGAUAUGAUGAUGAUGCCUCGCUGAAUUAUCUUGAUUGGUGGAUUAGCUUGAAUGUUGAUUUGUUUGUAUGGCUGAUGCAGGUAGUUUUUGUUGAUUUUCCAAGCUAUACUUCAACUAUAUAAGCGGGGUUCUAUAUUGAGAAUGUACUUAGGGGCAAAGGGACUCAGAGAACUGAAGGAAAUAGCGAAGACUAAUAUGAUUGUUGGGGUUGUUGCGUAUUGCCGAGUGAUGCAAAUUUGUCAGGUAAGAAACUCUUGUUAGUCUAUCACGUGGCUGUUUGGCGAGUUUUCUGUGCGAUUUCAAUCCAUUUUCUUUAUUUAGUGCUUAAAUUGGACAAGAGAGUAUGAUGGGUCAACAAUUAGUUAUCAUAACUGUUUCUUGGUUGGUUUUCAUGCUUCAAGUUCUGUGCUGAUGUAGCUUACUCUUCGCUCAGUUGUGAUCUUGAUAUCCUGCUGAAGAAUUAUUAUUGAUGCGGGUGCUUUUGCUCUAUUCUGAUUGUAAUGCAGGCUGAAUAUUUUCGACAGUUGCUAAAACCUGUUACGUAGUCUAGUAGAACACCACAAGCUCCAGUGAUUAGAGGGACAUAAUCGCCUUCUGGUUGUUUGAUAUACUAAAGGGAAGUGAACGGAGACAAGGGUAUGGUAAUGGUGGGUUUUUCAUUUGGAAUAAACAUCUGUUAAGCAGGAGGGUUGAUAGCUUGGUUUGCUAGUUUCUCAAGUCGUCAGUUUAGGAGUCUUCGUCACUUUUAACAAUCUGAAAUUUGCUGCCUUGAUCGAUCGAGAGCCAAAUCCAUUUUCUUGUGGGUAGAGAAACCAAUUUCUGAUGCAUAGAGAUCAAAGGUUCCACCCAAAGGCAGUGCCCCCAGGUGCCUAUCAAUGGGGUGAUAACUACAUGAAUCUUCCGGUUCCAUCUUCCUUUCCCGAGGUGCUACCUCCACCAAUAUAUGGUGUUGAAUUUCAGCCAUCUGAGGCCUGCCCGAAGAAUUUCGUGAUUGUCGAUCAGACAGAUCACCGCAGCCAAAUCAUGUUCAAUCCUGCAUUUGCGCACAAAUUCCCUGCUACCAAUUUCAAUGGUUAUUCCUCUGGGUUCAUGCACGAGAGCUAUCCGAGGAAAGAUGUCCGUAAGGUAGAAAAAGAAUUGUCAGACCUGAAGGAAGAUUCUGAUGACAUUGAUGCACUGUUAAGCCUGGAUGACAUUCGUGACAACGACGAGGAGGAUGGAGUCUACGACGAAGAUGAGGUGAGCACAGCCAGGACAUAUGGAACUUACGGGAGCAGCUCCCCAGAAUCUUGUUCCAACUACAACUACAACAAUUCCAGGAGCAAUGCUUGCUCGUCUUCUUCUGCCCAUGGAAGUAGCAGUGAGACGAAACAGCUGAAGAUGAAGAGGAUGUUGAAGGCACUGAGGGGCAUCAUUCCCGGCGCGGACCAAAUGAAUACUGUAACUGUUAUAGAUGAAGCAAUCAGGUACCUCAAAUCUAUCAAGGUCGAAGCCGAGAAGCUCGGAGUAGCGAAUAUGGAAGACUACAACUAAAGUGAAAGCUCUACUUCCUCGAUACAGGUAAUAUCUUGUAUAUCAUUUUCAAACACUCAUCCUACCUCUCCCCUUAGCAGGUCCUCCGCCAUUAGCACCAGAAUAAAUGACUGCUGCAUAUUAUGUACUCACGGUCCCCAUAUAGGAACCCUUUAUUCUGCUUGGUCUUUUCACUAUUGCUCUCUGCUCUGUUUGCCUUUUCUUUGUGAUGAUUUUGUAUUGUACUACUUUCAACUUUCUAUGAUAACGGUUUGCUAUUUUAUAUUCCUUGUUUCUCCUGGGCGGUGUUUCGAUUGUUUUCCUCCUCUUGCUAUUAAAAAACUUGCUCGACUUCCUUUAGACUCUGCACUCUGCACCUAACUGUAGUGAUGUUGUCAACCUUGUGGCUGGAUUUUGUGAAACAUGAAGAUCACAAACGUGCACUUUCAUAUAUAUAUAUUGAAUGUUUAUGCUAAGUGCCUCAUAGCUUACUGUUCCUGUAAGUAGAAAUGAUGUGGGUGUGUGUUGUCAGUGGAGCACCAGAACAAUAAAAUAGAAUUAGGGGUGGCCAUUAUGAUUCUAUUCAUUCAACCGACUGGGUGCUAGCUAGACAUGGCUUGAUGAAGUUUUCAUCAUUGAUGGUAGCUCGUGACUCCAUAUAAGAAAUUAAAAAGCCCAUAAUAGUAUUUUUUUUUUAGAUCCUAUUACUUAUAGUUGAAUGGUUGCUGCAAUUUAGUAGCUAGUCAAUUAACUUAUUAACCAUUUAUUCAUUUAACUAGUUACAAAAGAUUAUAAUAAUUAGUAACAAACAAUUAUGAUUGGUUAUUUAUAAAGUUUUACCGGAAAAUUCAUCGGAGGUUACCCUGCCGGUUGCUGAAGACACGUGGUGGGUUUUAAGCUCUCGUUUUGUCUACUGGUCACAUCUUGCAUGUAAGCGUCAAAGCACCAAGUAAAGAGCAAAAUUAGGAUGAUUGAAUUUGGCAAAAACGAUGUCGAAGGGGGUGAGGUAAAUGUAAAAUACACUGAGAAGUGAGGAGUGGAAAAACCUUGGCAGGCCCCAUAGAAACUGCUCCCACUACACGCGUGCUCCCGCAAUCCGACGGCCCACAACUAUUUCCGCAUUAUACGGGAUGGGUGCUCCGAUGCCUCCACUCCUCCCAUUUUUUUCCUGAACCCCUCCGGUCCCCUGUUCCCCCAUUUGCUCUUCUUAAUUUUAUUAGUGGGAGGCAUUAGGUUUGGAGCGAGCUAGUUUAAUCGGUAAAGUUGUAUGUUAGUGAACGAAAAUAUUUCCGUUUGAUCAUGUCUCGCAAAAAAAAUACAUGUGUAAUGUUUCUUAUUUUACUCUUUAUCUCAGCAAAGAAAUACAUGUUGUAUUGGUAUUUAGCCGUGUUUUCAAAAUCAUAUUGCAUUGGAGAAUGAUUCGGAGUAUGAUCGAUUAUUAUAUUAUAAAAAUACCUGUCAAUGACAUUUUCAUCAUAGUUAAACAAUUGUCAAUUGAAUCAAAAUAGCUUCAUUGGCUACUAAUUUUCUAGAGGGUUUUGAAAGUACAUAAGAGCUCAAGAUAGUUGAGAAUAAAGGAAAUGUGGAAAAAAUGUUUGUUUACAAAAUGUGGAAAAAACAUGUAAAUCUAAGAAUCAUAUUCCUUUACAAAUACACUCAUAUCUCUCGUAUGCCAAAUGACAUUAGAUUUGCAUUUCCAAUUCGAUAACUCACUAAUUAUUUUUUAGACUCUCGGUCAAUAAAAGAUGGAAGAUAGAAACUAAAUACUAUAUCGGUGUCCAUUUUAUAAGAUGUGUUGAAUUCGAACCUGAAAACUCCAUAUCAUCAUAUACACAGCUCUAUCGCCGGAACAGCUCUUUCUUGGUACAGUUGCCUUUAAAUCACCCUAUAACAUUGUUUCGUUAGCACUAACCUAUAUUUUAAACUUUUUGUAAGUGAAAGAAAUUUUUUAAUAGUAAAAAAUGAAAUUUCAAACGAAAUACACGCGAAGUUGUUUCCCUUUCGGGAAUAUUUCAGAGAUAAAAAUCUGCCAUUCCCACUCUGUUGUACACUCCAAUCCAUUUCCCUCCUCCUCUCUCUCAAUCCUCCGACGAGAAAAUCCGUCCAAGUUCUCAUCAGAUCUCUAGCUUCCACCCUCCGUUUCCUGUUCCCUCUGUACUCCGACAAUCAUCAUCCCAUUGGAAGCUCGCCGUACGUUUGCUCCCGCUUUUUUACCGUUUCAGCUAGGUAAAUGAUCUUGUUCCGUAUAGCUCUUCUUUAUUCCAUUUCUCUGUUGAAUUUGCAAGGAUCGCCUUCUGCUUUCGCUGACUUCGUCGCUGUGCAAAUUUCGGCGAUCGUUGAUUCGCUUGGUUGCUUUGGUGUUUCCAGCUUCUUCUGCAGUGAAGACUGCCGCUAUCGGUUAAUUUUGGAUCAGGAGAAGAAACAACAUGCCGUGGACAUCUUCUUUCGUCAACUACAGCAGUACCUCUGUUCGAUUGGUGGUGUUCUUCCGUGUCAUUCUGUAAAUUCGGUUUCCGCUCUGCACUGUAAGUUCCUCCUGGACACUAAUCUGUAGAUGGUGUAUAUUUCCGAUACUGUAUUUAAAGAUGUGAUAACGUCUCUCUGAAU